GUGUGAGAGGUGUGGAGCUGCAACAUCAUUGUUUCAGAAACCUGACCAAUGAGAUGUGCCGUAAGAAAUCCCAUCAGGGGGAGUAUGCGCUGGCCGAUCAAGAGCACCGUCAUUCACGGUGGAGGCGUGGAGCAAUCAGCGGACCGCAUGGAGGCUCAAAAAAAU
This is a long non-coding RNA of Thalassophryne amazonica, 165 nucleotides long. RefSeq lists it as uncharacterized. The record is from RefSeq and is a predicted model, not a curated record. NCBI's taxonomy places the organism in Eukaryota, Metazoa, Chordata, Actinopteri, Batrachoidiformes, Batrachoididae. The transcript is spliced from 3 exons.